GACAGAGGCCUCAAGCGUUAGGCGGAAUCACUGGGCUUAAAGCGUGUGUAGGCGGAUGCCUAAGUACCUUGUGAAAUCCCACGGCUCAACCCUGGGCCUGCAUUCGAUACGGGCAGACUAGAGUUCGGUAGGGGAGACUGGAAUUCCUGGUGUAGCGGUGAAAUGCGCAGAUAUCAGGAGGAACACCGGUGGCGAAGGCGGGUCUCUGGGCCGAAACUGACGCUGAGGAGCGAAAGCGUGGGGAGCAAACAGG
This 253-nucleotide ribosomal RNA is filed under the name uncultured bacterium. RNAcentral describes it as "partial 16S ribosomal RNA". It matches the Rfam family "Bacterial small subunit ribosomal RNA", at positions 524 to 776 of the family's 1533-position model. The record is from RNAcentral.